ACCUACGGGGGGCAGCAGUAGGGAAUUUUCGUCAAUGGGCGCAAGCCUGAACGAGCAAUGCCGCGUGAACGAGGAAGGUCUUCGGAUCGUAAAGUUCUGUUGAAGGGGAAAAAGAGCGGAGAGAGGAAAUGGUCUCCGAUUGAUAUUACCCUUCGAGGAAGUCACGGCUAACUACGUGCCAGCAGCCGCGGUAAUACGUAGGUGGCGAGCGUUAUCCGGAAUGAUUGGGCGUAAAGGGCGCGUAGGCGGCCUGCUAAGUCUGGAGUGAAAGGUACCGGCUCAACCGGUACAGGCUCUGGAAACUG
RNAcentral lists this ribosomal RNA (305 nucleotides) under uncultured bacterium. Its description in RNAcentral is "bacterial SSU rRNA". It matches the Rfam family "Bacterial small subunit ribosomal RNA", at positions 337 to 635 of the family's 1533-position model. The record is from RNAcentral.